AGUGAACGCUGGCGGUAGGCCUAACACAUGCAAGUCGAACGGCAGCACAGUAAGAGCUUGCUCUUACGGGUGGCGAGUGGCGGACGGGUGAGGAAUACAUCGGAAUCUACUUUUUCGUGGGGGAUAACGUAGGGAAACUUACGCUAAUACCGCAUACGACCUACGGGUGAAAGCAGGGGAUCUUCGGACCUUGCGCGAUUGAAUGAGCCGAUGUCGGAUUAGCUAGUUGGCGGGGUAAAGGCCCACCAAGGCGACGAUCCGUAGCUGGUCUGAGAGGAUGAUCAGCCACACUGGAACUGAGACACGGUCCAGACUCCUACGGGAGGCAGCAGUGGGGAAUAUUGGACAAUGGGCGCAGACAUGAUCCAGCCAUACCGCGUGGGUGAAGAAGGCCUUCGGGUUGUAAAGCCCUUUUGUUGGGAAAGAAAAGCAGCAGGUUAAUACCCCGCUGUUCUGACGGUACCCAAAGAAUAAGCACCGGCUAACUUCGUG
This 492-nucleotide ribosomal RNA is filed under the name uncultured bacterium. Its description in RNAcentral is "partial 16S ribosomal RNA". It matches the Rfam family "Bacterial small subunit ribosomal RNA", at positions 29 to 507 of the family's 1533-position model. The record is from RNAcentral.